Molecule: ribosomal RNA, 350 nt
Filed under: uncultured bacterium
Lineage: Bacteria
Description: bacterial SSU rRNA
Rfam family: Bacterial small subunit ribosomal RNA
Source: RNAcentral
UAAGGAAUAUUGGUCAAUGGAGGAAACUCUGAACCAGCCAUGCCGCGUGUGUGAUGAAGGCCCUUUGGGUUGUAAAGCACUUUUAUAUAGGAAGAAUGACAGGGAUUUAUCCUUGGAGAGACGGUACUAUAGGAAUAAGCACCGGCUAACUCCGUGCCAGCAGCCGCGGUAAUACGGAGGGUGCAAGCGUUAUCCGGAAUCACUGGGUUUAAAGGGUACGUAGGCGGUCAAUUAAGUCAGACGUCAAAGGCUGUGGCUAAACCACGGUACGCGUUUGAAACUGGUUGACUUGAAUAUGUUCGAGGUGCAUGGAAUGCAUCAUGUAGCGGUGAAAUGCUUAGAUAUGAUGU